AGGGGAUUAGGAUUGCCUUGGAAGGAAAGGAGACAAAGAUUGGGAAAAGGGUAUAGAUAGAACUCUACUGCAAGGGGACCGGAGAGAGCAGAAGAGGGGGCCAAAUGCUUUACAGGCUCAGAGGAAGAAGCUAGAGGGGGGACACCAUACCAUACCCCACUGCCCCACCUAGGCCUGGAGCCUAAGGAAGGGCCCCUUGGAUUUUCAAAUAGGCUGCCCUUCUACUCUUCUCCAUCCCUCCCAGAUAAGCUCCCCUCUCCCAACUCCCUUUUUCAGUAGUCUCUCCCCAGCCCUUAGGCCCUCCUUCCUGGGGGGCGGGAGGAGGAAGUCCCAAAGAGGACAGUCUUAACUCAGGGCCUGUCCCAACACCCCUUCCCCCGCAGGACUCACCAGCCAGGUCUGGGCGGCGCCAGAGCUGCCCUCAAAGUCAGGGCAUGAGAUGGGCCUGGUCCCCACUUCUGGGCACUGGCUGGAGGAUUGGGGGAGGGGGAUGGGAGAGGGAGGUCGAAGCUUCCCUAGCUAGGGUGGGUGUUCAAAGAGAGAGGAGCUGCCCGGAGGAGUCCCCGAGUUUCUCUAAGCAGUGGACAACAUCUGGCGCAGCUGGAAGGGGGAGGGGACGAAGAAUUCCGUUCUCCAAGAAAGAAGGAGAGGAAAAAACAAACAAAAAUACCCCAGCUUUCAAACCCAGUCUAGGGCUAGGAACGAGCCUCUCGGCCCCUGCCUUUCGGGCCCGGGAAAAACAAAUCCCUUCAACGACCAUCCCCUGCCCCAAACUGGAGCACUGGGUCCGGACAUAGACUCAGGCGCGGGCAGCAGAGGGAGAAGAAGCGCGGGGCAAGCCGCGGGGCUGCUGGUGUCCGCAGGGAGUCAGCGGGAGCGCGGACCGCGGCGCGGGGCCGGGGCGCGAGGCCACAGGUGACCCGGACAUCUCCUGCAGGGAACGGCAGGGGCGGCGGGGCCGGCGGGAAGCCCAGCAAGCGGCAGGCCAGUCCCGGGCGGAGGAGAGCCAAAGUCAGCAGGGAGCAAGCCUCUUGCGCUGCGCGGAAUCCAGAAUCCACCGAGAGGAGUGGGCAGCUGCGGGGAUCAGGCGAGGCCGGCUCCGGAAGCUUGGGACAGCGGGGCAGUGCCUUUUCCAAAUCCAGAGAAGGAGGAGGAGGAUUGGAGAGCAGAAAGGAUCCUCCCCAAGCACCUCGGGGCCUCUCGGGCCACGGACCGCUGUUUUCCCUGUCCCUCGAUUCUGGGGGGACGGGCACGGAACCGCGGUGUCAGGGAGCCGGCUUGGCAGGCGGGCGGGCGGGCGGGCGGGCGGCUCUGCCUCCUGCUAGACUGGCAGCUCUGGGCGAUGGCUCAGCUAAAGGCAGCCCAGCCUCUUUGCACUGUCAGAGAAGGGGGCCGGGCCGAGCCAAGCGGGGAGCCUUUAAAGCGACACACACUGCUUCUGACCCCCGGUUUCCUUCCCACCGGGUGAGCGGCGGGUAGGAGGAAGGGAGGAAGGGAGGCCCUUUGUAGCCAAUCUGAUAAAAUAAUUGGAGAAGUAGUCUUAAUGGAUUCUAAUGGAUUCAUCAGUUCUCUUUCUUGCAGGUAACCGUCUGAAUUUUAACUGGGGCCUUUUUGGAGACAAUUCCCGAAGGAAGGAAUCGUCAGAAGUAGAAUUAUGGACGUGGUAGGGGGUUUGCAUGAGCGUNNNNNNNNNNNCCACAAUCACACCAACUUAGUAGCAUCAUCCAGAUAUCAUGAUGCUGACAGCAAGGAGAAUUUGCUCUAGUAGGAGCUGGCAACCACAUCAAAAACUGGGGAAAUAGAGAAUGUAACUUUCUGAAGAACUGUAUUUAUUUCAUUUAAUUUAUGGAGAGGCAAAGUGGUCCUGUGGAUAGAGAGCUGGCCAUGGUGCUAAGGAAGGCCUGGGACAGAGUUGCCCCCUUCUGACAGAUACCGGCCAUUCGAGAUGAAAAAGAAACUUCCACUCCUGGUAUUCUAAAUAAUUCUCUCAAACCAGGAGUUUUUACUGUGUGUGUUACAGACCCUUCUGGAAGUCUAAUGAAGUCAAUGGACCCCUUCCCAGAAUAAUGCUUUUGAAUGUAUAAAAUGAAAAAAUGUUCACUGUGUUUAAACCUGGUUAAGGACUUCUGUAGACUAAGACUAAAAAUUAUUUUAAAAGUGCCAAUCUCCAUUAUGAAAAAGUUUCCUUGUUUGUUAGUCCCUUAUCUCAGUAAAGUUCUAGGUCAAGUCUCUGGUUUAUUUAUCAAGUUAUUUAUAUGUAUUUAAUUUAUAAAAAUUGAAGGCUAUCUCUAUAGUGUCCUAGAACCUCCACCGAGACAGCUCAGUUCACUGUCCUAUACACAAUGGGCAUUUCAUCAAUUUUGGACUGUUUCUUUUUCCUGAUAAAUCAUCAGUCUCUAGUAGAGGACACUGAAUAAAUACUUAUUGUUGAAUAAAUGAAUGAUGUUC
Molecule: long non-coding RNA, 2448 nt
Organism: Monodelphis domestica (gray short-tailed opossum)
Lineage: Eukaryota; Metazoa; Chordata; Mammalia; Didelphimorphia; Didelphidae
Source: Ensembl